RNAcentral lists this ribosomal RNA (229 nucleotides) under uncultured bacterium. RNAcentral's name for it is "partial 16S ribosomal RNA". It matches the Rfam family "Bacterial small subunit ribosomal RNA", at positions 92 to 334 of the family's 1533-position model. The record is from RNAcentral.
UUAGUAGCGGACGGGUGAGUAACGCGUAGGGAUUUAUCGUUGGGUGGGGGAUAACCCUGGGAAACUGGGGCUAAUACCGCAUGACGCCUGUGGGCCAAAGUCCGAAAGGGUGCCUGACGAGGAGCCUGCGUCCGAUUAGCUAGUUGGUUGGGUAAAGGCUGACCAAGGCAUCGAUCGGUAGCUGGUCUGAGAGGAUGAUCAGCCACACUGGGACUGAGACACGGCCCAG